UACGGAGGGUGCAAGCGUUAAUCGGAAUUACUGGGCGUAAAGCGCGCGUAGGCGGCUAUUUAAGCUAGAUGUGAAAUCCCCGGGCUUAACCUGGGACGUGCAUUUAGAACUGGGUAGCUAGAGUACAGCAGAGGAUAGUGGAAUUUCAGGUGUAGCGGUGAAAUGCGUAGAGAUCUGAAGGAACAUCAGUGGCGAAGGCGACUGUCUGGGCUGAUACUGACGCUGAGGUGCGAAAGCGUGGGGAGCAAACAGG
This 253-nucleotide unclassified non-coding RNA is filed under the name uncultured Cellvibrionales bacterium. RNAcentral's name for it is "contains 16S-23S intergenic spacer region". It matches the Rfam family "Bacterial small subunit ribosomal RNA", at positions 524 to 776 of the family's 1533-position model. The record is from RNAcentral. Lineage: Bacteria; Pseudomonadati; Pseudomonadota; Gammaproteobacteria; Cellvibrionales.